This 492-nucleotide ribosomal RNA is filed under the name uncultured bacterium. RNAcentral's name for it is "partial 16S ribosomal RNA". It matches the Rfam family "Bacterial small subunit ribosomal RNA", at positions 29 to 507 of the family's 1533-position model. The record is from RNAcentral.
AGUGAACGCUGGCGGUAGGCCUAACACAUGCAAGUCGAACGGCAGCACAGUAAGAGCUUGCUCUUACGGGUGGCGAGUGGCGGACGGGUGAGGAAUACAUCGGAAUCUACUUUUUCGUGGGGGAUAACGUAGGGAAACUUACGCUAAUACCGCAUACGACCUACGGGUGAAAGCAGGGGAUCUUCGGACCUUGCGCGAUUGAAUGAGCCGAUGUCGGAUUAGCUAGUUGGCGGGGUAAAGGCCCACCAAGGCGACGAUCCGUAGCUGGUCUGAGAGGAUGAUCAGCCAAACUGGAACUGAGAGACGGGUCAGACGCAUACGGGAGGCAGCAGUGGGGAAUAUUGGACAAGGGGCGCAAGCCUGAUCCAGCCAUACCGCGUGGGGGAAGAAGGCCUUCGGGUGGUAAAGCCCUUUUGUGGGGAAAGAAAAGCAGCAGGUGAAUACCCCGCUGUUCUGACGGUACCCAAAGAAUAAGCACCGGCUAACUUCGUG